GGCCAGGAAAAAGCCAGCAGCAGCCAGGCAGGGGAGAGUGUGCAUCCGACAUCCUCCUGUGUGGUGAAGGGAUGACACCUCUUCCCUCUGGGCUGUCAGCCUUUACUGUUCCAGGAUACAGAUCUCCUGAUUCAGUGUCCAGUGCCUUUUGAACUGACCGCAAGCCCUCCUGGACGAUUGGAGCUGUAAUGUGGAAAGGGCUCUGAUGGAGCCGGUUAAAAUGCUUCAUUAUCUGCAGAAUACCACAUACAGUAAUACGAUCUGGAUGUCUUUCCCCUCCUCCACUAAGUAGCAUAAGUGAAGACUUCCCAGAGGAAGUGCACCUUUUUCAUCUCGUAUCUGAGUCAUGGCCAACAGUGUUGCAAACAGGAACCCGAGGUGUUCACUUCACUGUUGAAGGAACAAGAGGGCAUCUGCUGAAGUUUCAGAUUCCGUA
RNAcentral lists this long non-coding RNA (436 nucleotides) under Pan troglodytes (chimpanzee). Its description in RNAcentral is "long non-coding RNA NONPTRT012262". The record is from RNAcentral. Lineage: Eukaryota; Metazoa; Chordata; Mammalia; Primates; Hominidae.